UUAUUUCAUGGUCAAGGAGCAACGCCAAGCCACCAAACAUCGACCAAACCCUUCUCUCUCUCUCAUCCUCUCUUGUUUCUGAUCCAAACAUCUUCUCCUCCAUUAAUGGUGUCUUAUAGAGUAUUUAAUCCUGAAAAUUUACGCUCCAUUUCUCUCUCUAAAAAAAAUAUAAAAAUUCAGUAUCACUCUCUUUCUUGAUCUUUAUGUUUUCAUAGAUCUUGUAGUUCUCUCUAUAUAUUUGAAAUCAAAUUAAGCCCUCAUGUCAAAUUCCAGUGCAAUUUUUUCAUAAUUUAUUAAUCUUUUUGGUACAACUUACAAUCUUUAGAGCUCUCAAAUGAAAUCUUCUCCAUCAGACGGAUGACCAUGGUGCUUGUUUCAUAGCUUUAAAAAAUCUGAAAAGAACAGAGAUGAACUAGAGCAAGGAGAGAAGAUGAGCUCAGAUUGGAGAUCAGCGUUUUACUUUUUCUGGCAAGAGAGAGAAAGAGAUGGGUAGAGGAGAGAUGGGAGAGAAGAGAAAUAAAUUAAAAUGGAGAUAACAUUAUUAAA
Non-coding RNA from Jatropha curcas, 546 nucleotides. The record is from RefSeq and is a predicted model, not a curated record. NCBI's taxonomy places the organism in Eukaryota, Viridiplantae, Streptophyta, Magnoliopsida, Malpighiales, Euphorbiaceae.